AGCAGUCGCCGCGGGAAUACGUAGGUGGCAAGCGUUGUCCGGAAUUAUUGGGCGUAAAGGGCUCGCAGGCGGUUUCUUAAGUCUGAUGUGAAAGCCCCCGGCUCAACCGGGGAGGGUCAUUGGAGACUGGGAAACUUGAGUGCAGAAGAGGAGAGUGGAAUUCCACGUGUAGCGGUGAAAUGCGUAGAGAUGUGGAGGAACACCAGUGGCGAAGGCGACUCUCUGGUCUGUAACUGACGCUGAGGAGCGAAAGCGUGGGGAGCGAACAGGAUUAGAUACCCCCGUAGUCCCUGUCUCUUAUAC
This 303-nucleotide ribosomal RNA is filed under the name uncultured bacterium. RNAcentral describes it as "partial 16S ribosomal RNA". It matches the Rfam family "Bacterial small subunit ribosomal RNA", at positions 507 to 807 of the family's 1533-position model. The record is from RNAcentral.